UCCGUGUUUAAUCCACUUGUCAUAAACCAGGUCCUGAGAUGACCACAUGCAACCAAGACAAAGCAUCUCUCAUCGGAGGACAGGAGUCACUCCGGAUGGAUGCCGGCUGAGAAUACCUUCUCCCUGCUGCUGUUUUCCUGGGACAGAAAAUGAAAACUGAAUGAAUUGAACAAUAGGAUUUGUUUUGACUAUGGAUAUUUUCAUGUACGCUGUGACUAAUAGCCUAAUUAUUUUCCUUUUUCUCUUGUCAUUUUUUGUUGUCGUUCUUUCUAGCAAUUAACCUUUAGGACUUUCAGCCUCAAUUUAAACAAAUAGUGAGAAAGGUAGUGGCAAUAUUAAUUGGAGCUGAACCACUGGUAGACAAACAACGAUUCUGAAGUGAUUUUGUAUAUAAUGGUUAUACUGCUUUUAAUGUUGAGGCUUCAGCCCUUCUGUAUCUUUAAGAAGAAGCGGGCAGCUCUUACUUCUCCAGGUCAUGCCUCGUUAUAUAGCUUCGUGUAGUAUUAAGCACAUUGUGGGGAAUUCACCAACUGUGCAUCCCAAGGAUGAUGAAAGGGAAGGAAACUGAACCAAUGAAAAAGCAUCCUGGGGG
Leopardus geoffroyi (Geoffroy's cat) is the source of this 592-nucleotide long non-coding RNA. RefSeq lists it as uncharacterized. The record is from RefSeq and is a predicted model, not a curated record. The transcript is spliced from 3 exons. NCBI's taxonomy places the organism in Eukaryota, Metazoa, Chordata, Mammalia, Carnivora, Felidae.